CUAGUAACGGCGAGUGAGCGGGAUGAGCUCAAAUUUAAAAUCUGGCUGCCUCAGGUGGUCCGAGUUGUAGUCUCGAGAAGUGUUUUCCGCGUUGGCCUGUGUACAAGUCCUUUGGAAUAAGGCGUCAUAGAGGGUGAGAAUCCCGUCCUUGACACAGAUCCCCAAUGCUUUGUGAUGCGCUCUCAAAGAGUCGAGUUGUUUGGGAAUGCAGCUCAAAAUGGGUGGUAAAUUCCAUCUAAAGCUAAAUAUUGGCGAGAGACCGAUAGCGAACAAGUACCGUGAGGGAAAGAUGAAAAGCACUUUGGAAAGAGAGUUAAACAGUACGUGAAAUUGUUGAAAGGGAAACGAUUGAAGUCAGUCAUGCUCGUAGGGAUUCAACCGGUUCUGCCGGCCUAUUUCCCUACUUGCAGGCCAGCAUCAGUUUUGACCGGUGGAAAAGGUUGGAGGGAAUGUGGCAUCCUCGGAUGUGUUAUAGCCCUCUUUCGCAUACAUCGGUUGGGACUGAGGAACGCAGCACGCCUUUAUGGUCGGUCUUCGGACACGUACGUGCUUAGGAUGCUGGCAUAAUGGCUUUAAACGACCCGUCUUAAAUC
RNAcentral lists this ribosomal RNA (593 nucleotides) under Itersonilia pannonica. Its description in RNAcentral is "eukaryotic LSU rRNA". It matches the Rfam family "Eukaryotic large subunit ribosomal RNA", at positions 80 to 660 of the family's 3401-position model. Lineage: Eukaryota; Fungi; Basidiomycota; Tremellomycetes; Cystofilobasidiales; Mrakiaceae. The record is from RNAcentral.